AGUGAUUUAUACCAUGACAAAAACCUCAACACAAACACUUCUGUUUUUUGACAAAUGGUGAACUGCUGGAGCGAAGAAUAAUAAAGGCAUCCAUUCCAUAUUUUUACAGUUUCAGUCUUUAUGAUAUAUUUGUUACAAUUGUGUACUCCCUUGUUUAAUGGUUGUCUUUUAAAUAUAAAACAUAAAUAACCACUCAUAACAGAGUGGUUAUUUAACAGUAGUAACCGUCUUCAUGUUACCUUACUAACAGAAGUAAAAAAAUAUAUUAGAAGAUUCUGCUGCCUCUGAUGUUUUUUGGUAAAAUUUGUUUUACGCAGUUUUGUUUCUUUAUCAUAUAUAUAAAAUAAUACAUGUUCGUAGAGUUUUAUGUGGACUUCCAGAUUUAAGUUUGAAAAGUCUGCUCAAGACUUUGUGUCAGAGUUCUUUGUGGAUUCAUUUGUUUUCAAAGUUCCUCUGUGAUUUGAAGGGUUCAGUUAUGUCCUCCCAGUACAAUCUGGAAAAAUUCAAAAGGGAAUGGGAAAAAAAAGAAAAAGGUCCCAGCAGUUCACCAUCAGUUUGGUUCACUUCUGUUCAGUUUCCAUUGGAAGGUAGAAAAAUAACCUGACUAGUAAAGGGCCAGAACAAUGACAACAAUUCAUGUUCAACUAUCAAUUCAAAUCAGUUUACCAGUAAACACUAAUAAAAUACACACUUUAAAUAACUAAACAAGCAGUUCAGAAAACACAUGGGGCUUUCAGAAUAUACAAUAAAUCUAAAUAUUAGAUUCAUGAAUCUCCUCCUCUGCUUUUUGGCUCCUCGGGAUCUUUAUAAGCCUCUGUUUCUCAUCUCCUUUCAGCCCAACCUAUUCACUAUUGAGUUGGACAGAACCAAACAUUUACACCACAAAUUGACAACAUGCUGUGGACCCUAUGCAGUCUCAUCACUGCUUUAACAUGUGUUGAUGCAGCAAUAACAUUGACCCAGACACCUCCUGUCAAGACAGUCUCAGCAGGACAACAAGUUGUUCUAAACUGCAACAUUCAAAGAUAUGAUAGAAAUUAUGUCAAAUAGUACAAACAAGUUCCUAGUGGAGUUCCUCAGUAUGUUCUGUGUUUCUGGCACCAUGACAGUUCACUGAACUUUGGAACAGGAUUCUCUUCAGACCGAUUCAACUCUAAAUAAUCAUCAGACAUUGAUUAUCAGUUCAUUAUUAUACAGGCAGAAGCAGUUUUUGUCACAGUGUGACAAAAACCCAAACAUCCAGACUGAUCAAAUAUCUGAACAUUAAACAGUCCACAACAUGCAUUUGUUACUAUAAACCAUACUGCCACUGCUUAAAUAUGUCCACAGAGACCAAAGUGAGUUAGUGUUUUCUAAUAAAAGCAGAAUGAUGAAGAAACUGAGAUGUUUUCAGUGAAAGUUGCUCACAGCAGGAUGUUUCACUUCCACUCUGUCAUCAGAAACAAUCAGGAGGUUUUUGUACGGCGAUGUAUACAAACUGAAUCACUGUGGUAUUCGGACCGGGAACCAAGCUGUUUGUCACAGGCUCCACUCUUCCUCCUCCUGUCCUGACGGUUUUCCCUCCAUCCAAGGCUGAGCUCCAGUCCAACAAAGCCACUCUGCUCUGUCUGUCCACUCAGUCUGGACCUUUUGCUGAUGUGAACUGGUUGGUUGAUGGGAGUCCAGUAAGCAGUGGGAUCACUACCAGCACUGCUGUU
This is an RNA transcript of Xiphophorus couchianus (Monterrey platyfish), 1697 nucleotides long. It is a transcript of the gene named immunoglobulin lambda-1 light chain-like, with no coding region annotated. NCBI's taxonomy places the organism in Eukaryota, Metazoa, Chordata, Actinopteri, Cyprinodontiformes, Poeciliidae. The record is from RefSeq and is a predicted model, not a curated record. The transcript has 3 exons.